ACGAGUUUGAUCAUGGCUCAGAUUGAACGCUGGCGGAAUGCUUUACACAUGCAAGUCGAACGGUAGAGGGGGCAACCCCUUGAGAGUGGCGAACGGGUGAGUAAUAUAUCGGAACGUGCCCAGUCGUGGGGGAUAACGUAGCGAAAGUUACGCUAAUACCGCAUACGAUCUACGGAUGAAAGCGGGGGACUCGCAAGAGCCUCGCGCGAUUGGAGCGGCCGAUAUCAGAUUAGGUAGUUGGUGGGGUAAAGGCUCACCAAGCCAACGAUCUGUAGCUGGUCUGAGAGGACGACCAGCCACACUGGAACUGAGACACGGUCCAGACUCCUACGGGAGGCAGCAGUGGGGAAUUUUUGGACAAUGGACGCAAGUCUGAUCCAGCCAUUCCGCGUGCAGGAUGAAGGCCCUCGGGUUGUAAACUGCUUUUGUACGGAACGAAAAGGUUUCUAUUAAUACUAGGAGCUCAUGACGGUACCGUAAGAAUAAGCACCGGCUAACUACGUG
RNAcentral lists this ribosomal RNA (504 nucleotides) under uncultured bacterium. RNAcentral's name for it is "bacterial SSU rRNA". It matches the Rfam family "Bacterial small subunit ribosomal RNA", at positions 1 to 507 of the family's 1533-position model. The record is from RNAcentral.